Molecule: ribosomal RNA, 293 nt
Filed under: uncultured bacterium
Lineage: Bacteria
Description: partial 16S ribosomal RNA
Rfam family: Archaeal small subunit ribosomal RNA
Source: RNAcentral
GUGCCAGCCGCCGCGGUAAUACCGGCAGCUCGAGUGAUGACCGAUUUUAUUGGGCCUAAAGCGUCCGUAGCUGGCCAUGCAAGUCCAUCGGGAAAUCCACCCGCUUAACGGGUGGGCGUCCGGUGGAAACUGCACGGCUUGAGACAGGAAGGCUCGAGGGGUACGUUCGGGGUAGGAGUGAAAUCCCGUAAUCCUGAACGGACCACCGAUGGCGAAAGCACCUCGAGAGGACUGAUCUGACAGUGAGGGACGAAAGCUGGGGUCUCGAACCGGAUUAGAAACCCCUGUAGUCC